Molecule: long non-coding RNA, 858 nt
Filed under: Homo sapiens (human)
Lineage: Eukaryota; Metazoa; Chordata; Mammalia; Primates; Hominidae
Source: RNAcentral
ACGUCCGGCUUCCUUUCGAUGUCGACGGGAGGAAACUGUCACGCAGGCCACCAACCGGCGGUGGAGGGCGCGGUGCCGAGUCCUGCCACUGCAGGGUCGCCCCGCUGGCUCAAGCUCUAGAAGCGUAGACCUCCCCAGCCGCAAAAAGCAACUCACGCGGCGAAACCGCGGACUCUUUUGACCCUUCCGAGCUACCAUUUACUUUCCAUAGAGGGGCGGGACUUCCUGUUUCGCUUUUAUCUGUAAGACCGACUUCCGGCCUUCAAGGGCAAGAGGGGUAUAUACGUAUAUAUCAUCGCACGGUGUGUCCCGGAAGGCUUGAUAUGCUAGUCCCGCGGGACAAGGCGAGCCGAGGAGUUUGUGUGGAAGUUUGCAUCUGAGAGUGCGAGAGCUGGACGGAGUGUUACAGAGCCGCGAUGCCUUCUCGUUUUGUUUUGUUUUGUUUUUGAUACAGUGUCUCGCUCUUCCGCCCAGUCUCGAGUGCAGUGGUGAGAACACGGCUUACUGCAGCCUCAAAAUCCUGGACCCAAAAGAUCCUCCCACCUCAGCCUGCCUCCCAGGUAGCUGGGACUACAGGCGCACAACACCAUCGCUUCUUGGAUUAAAAGAAAAGGAUGAAACGGGCCCCAGAAAGAGGCGGUGACGUCCCAGAACCCAUGGCAGGGGAGUUGGGAAAAUAAAUAUUUGUAUUGUUUUAAUCUCCCUUGUGGCUUUUUUUAACCCCCGAAACAGCAAGGUAUUUUUAAAAGGGAUGAAGAGAGUUGCUUCAAAUGUUUUGAGACGUUGUUAUUUUUAAUAUGUGAGUGAAUAUCUUAGAAACAAAAUGAACAAGAAAUAAAAAUUUUAGAAAAUAUAUGA